Molecule: transfer RNA, 68 nt
Filed under: Cavia porcellus (domestic guinea pig)
Lineage: Eukaryota; Metazoa; Chordata; Mammalia; Rodentia; Caviidae
Rfam family: tRNA
About the family: Transfer RNA (tRNA) molecules are approximately 80 nucleotides in length. Their secondary structure includes four short double-helical elements and three loops (D, anti-codon, and T loops).
Source: Rfam by way of RNAcentral
GUGACUGUGGCUUAGUGGCAGAGCACACAAUUUGUGCAAGGCCCUGGGUUCUAUUCCUAGCACACACA